AAAUACUGUACUUAACAGAUAUGUACUUGUUUUAUAAAAAAUUUCAAAUAUUGACAUAAAAUGAAAUAUGAAAGAAACAGGCAUGACUGCAAUGUUUAUUUAACACUAAUGUUUUUACAAAGGAUAUGGCUACUGUAAUUAUAAUUGUAUAUUGAUAGUACUGACCUAUUGGGAGCUGCACACACCUCUCACCGCACUGUCUCAAUUGUGACUGCACAAACAAGUUGCCACGUAGCUAUGAGUCCAAUCGCAAUCAGCUGGCAAGUCUUACUACAGCUAAUCAGUGGAAUUUUGCUUAUCUGGAGGGUAAGCUGUGGAGAAAAAACU
Molecule: long non-coding RNA, 327 nt
Organism: Sphaeramia orbicularis (orbiculate cardinalfish)
Lineage: Eukaryota; Metazoa; Chordata; Actinopteri; Kurtiformes; Apogonidae
Exons: 3
Source: RefSeq, a predicted model, not a curated record